CGAGAAGACACUCGUGGAGGCGUCGGC
RNAcentral lists this non-coding RNA (27 nucleotides) under Homo sapiens (human). Lineage: Eukaryota; Metazoa; Chordata; Mammalia; Primates; Hominidae. The record is from RNAcentral.